UCAGGAAUAUUGCGCAAUGGAGGAAACUCUGACGCAGCGACGCCGCGUGGGUGAUGAAGGCCUUCGGGUCGUAAAGCCCUGUCGGAGGGGAAGAAAAGCUUGCUGGCUAAUAUCCAGCGAGCCCUUGACGGUACCCUCAAAGGAAGCACCGGCUAACUCCGUGCCAGCAGCCGCGGUAAGACGGAGGGUGCAAGCGUUGUUCGGAUUGACUGGGCGUAAAGGGCGUGUAGGCGGUUGGUCAAGUCCGGUGUGAAAGCCCGAGGCUCAGCCUCGGAAGUGCAUCGGAAACUAGCCAGCUGGAGUGCGAUAGAGGAGGGUGGAAUUCCUGGUGUAGCGGUGAAAUGCGUAGAUAUCAGGAGGAACACCGGCGGCGAAGGCGGCCCUCUGGAUCGUUACUGACGCUGAGACGCGAAAGCGUGGGGAGCAAACAGGAUUAGAUACCCCCGUAGUCC
This 452-nucleotide ribosomal RNA is filed under the name uncultured bacterium. RNAcentral's name for it is "bacterial SSU rRNA". It matches the Rfam family "Bacterial small subunit ribosomal RNA", at positions 355 to 796 of the family's 1533-position model. The record is from RNAcentral.